CCUACGGGUGGCUGCAGUGGGGAAUAUUGCACAAUGGGGGAAACCCUGAUGCAGCGACGCCGCGUGGGCGAGGAAGUACCUCGGUAUGUAAAGCCCUUUCAGCAGGGAAGAAAAAGGACAGUACUUGACUAAGAAGCCCCGCCUAACUCCGUACCAGCAGCCCCGGUAAUACGGAGGGGGCAAGCGUUAUCCGGAUUCACUGGGCGUAAAGGGAGCGCAGGGGGCAUGGGAAGUCUGACGUGAAAACCCGGGGCUCAACCCCGGAAGUGCAUUUGAAACUGCCAGGCUGGAGUGUGGGAGGGGUAAGCGGAAUUCCUGGUGUAGCGGUGAAAUGCGUAGAUAUUAGGAGGAACACCAGUGGCGAAGGCGGCCUGCUGGGCUUUUACUGACGCUGAGGCUCGAAAGUGUGGGGAGCAAACAGGAUUAGAUACCCGAGUAGUC
Molecule: ribosomal RNA, 441 nt
Filed under: uncultured bacterium
Lineage: Bacteria
Description: partial 16S ribosomal RNA
Rfam family: Bacterial small subunit ribosomal RNA
Source: RNAcentral